UAAAAUAAGUACCAGUUGAACACUGGGGUCGGUAUAAUCGACUAGUUCCCUCCCUCAAAAUUUCAGGCCUUGUGCCUUUAGUAGAAAGGAUUAUUAUUAUUAUUAUUAUUAUUGCUUUUUGGCAAAUAAGGUCUCUUUCCUUUGUAUCCUUAAGUUUAAAAAUAUCUUGUUUUUCUAUUAGUGAUAAAUUGUGUUAUUCAUUGUUGUAGAACCAAUCACAACUGUAAAUGACUAGUUGUUUUCUCUGUUUUUUGAUCCCUUGGAGCCAAAAUUUGAGAAGAUAUUUCUGAAACUUAUUUUGAACACAAUAUUAGACUGUAACCAGCCAACCAGCCAGAGGGUUUAGUGAGGGGCGCUUUGAGAGGAAAAUGGAACUAUUUGUAUGAAUGUUUUCCUCCUGUGAUAGGCCAAAGUUAAAAAUAUUAAUACCCACCGCUGUAACAAAUAUCAGCCUCGACAACAGUAACGAUAACAAGUACAAUUACAUACCAAAUGAAAAGUACUACAGUAGCAGAAUGACAAAAACAACUCCACUGCUGCUGUUGUCACAAACACUACAACUAUUUAAAAUAAAUUAAUAAACGAUGAACUAUUUCUGGAAUUUGGGAUCUUCUCUCAAAUAGCGAGAUCUGAAGACUUUUAAGUGGAGCCUUCAAGGAAUCUCUGAACUCCUUGGUAACCAGAUUGUUUUUCAACCAAAAGUAAAUAGAUUCUCACCUUUUUCCCGCUACUCAGUGGAAAAUGGUACUUAAAGUACAUCUGACAUUUAACAAAUGACCUCAGCUUAGUAGGUAAUAGAUGUUGCGAGGGCUGGAUGCAUGCUCUUAUGCCCAUCGAUAACUUCGAUAUAUUGCUUCUCUUAGUCGGCCUUGAAAAGCCUGGAUUUCGAAGUUCUGCCAUACUUCCUAGAUCUGGAUGAUGCGUUGGUGGUCCUGGAAGUGAGCUGUAGUGAAGGCGGUGCCUUCAGACUUGUAGCUGUCUAUUAUCCCUUUUAAAGGAAUGCAACUUUGAUCAAGGCAGAGAUGAAUCCGUAUAAGUUAAUGGGCUUGCAGUUUAGUACUUCGAGAAGCAAGGCCAGAUUGUUCAUCCAGCGUCGUGGGCCAAUGGGUGAAUGGUUCGGUUUUGUCGAUUGGAGUCUGGUUUGGACCAGACCUCAAGUGACAUUAGGAACAGGGUGAUCAGUUUCACCAAGAAAUGGGCCGGGAGUACGAUAACAUUGAAAGGUCUGGUAGAAGUUAUAUAUCACCUUAUAUCGUCUCUCUACUUUGUUACUCUCUGACCAUCUAGUUUACAUUUGUGUAGUGAGGAGUGGUCUGCUCCUUGGCUUUUUUGUGGAAAGGACGUGAUCCUUUGCUCAGACAAUCAGUCCAUUUACUCUCACUCCUUCCUUACAUGGGAGGUUUGAUAUGCUGUGGAUGAUGAUGCCCUAGUGUGCUCUGGCUACAACACAAGAUUCGUAGACAGUGAGCAGAUGUGGCUCCCUAUUGGCAGGAACAUCUUUUCAUAGCUCGUCUCCUUGACGGAGCUGCAAUCCUGGGUUAAGCAAAGCUCAAGACUGGGUACUUGGUAUACGGGUAUGAAAUGUCAAGCGUUCUCCAGAGGACGAGUAAUGAAGAAGGGCAACGAAGUUCUUGGAAACACUAGGCAUCAACAAGACUUGGUCUCUCUGGUACAGAAAACUUUCAACUCAGGAACUAUGAAUGAAUUCAAGAAAUCUCCGACGUGGUGCUGUUACUGGUGGAUAUUGCUAAUUCAAGACAAACUCUACAAGCCUGGAAAUGCUGCUAGAUGAGUCUGUACCAAAUGUGAGCAGACCAACGAAACUAUUUUGUAUGUACUCUUUCAGUAUCUGAGCAUUAUUGGUUUGUGAAUUUUGGUCAAAUAUAGCUGUUGUCGUGGGUCGAACGGUUUGCCUGUCAGACAAAUCUUUCAAGAUUUCUACCCCCUCCCUACCACCUUUCGUUGUU
This 1967-nucleotide long non-coding RNA is filed under the name Octopus sinensis (East Asian common octopus). Its description in RNAcentral is "uncharacterized LOC118764844". Lineage: Eukaryota; Metazoa; Mollusca; Cephalopoda; Octopoda; Octopodidae. The record is from RNAcentral.